GAUGAACGCUGGCGGCGUGCCUAAUACAUGCAAGUCGAGCGAACGGACGAUAAGCUCGCUUCUCUGCUGUUAGCGGUGGACGGGUGAGUAACACGUGGAUAACCUACCUAUAAGACUGGUACAACUUCGGGAAACCGGAGCCAUUACCGGAUAAGCUUUUAAACCGUAUGGUUCAAUACUGCAAGACGGCUUUGUUGUAACUUACAAAUGUACCGGGGCUGCAUUAGCUGGUUGGUGAGGUAACGGCUUACCAAGGCAACGAUGCAUAGCCGACCUGAGGGGGUGAUCGGCCACACUGGAACUGAAACAGGGUCCAGACUCCUACGGAAGGCAGCAGUGGGAAAUCUUCCGCAAUGGGGAAAAGCCGAACGAAGCAACGCCGGGUGGGUGAUGAAGGUCUUCGGAUCGUAAAACUCUGUUAUUGGGAAAGAAGAUAUGUGGAAGUAACUGUGAACAUCUUGACGGUACCUAACCAGAAAGCAACGGCUAACUACGU
RNAcentral lists this ribosomal RNA (496 nucleotides) under uncultured bacterium. RNAcentral describes it as "partial 16S ribosomal RNA". It matches the Rfam family "Bacterial small subunit ribosomal RNA", at positions 28 to 506 of the family's 1533-position model. The record is from RNAcentral.